AUGUCGUUCUCCUCCGGAGCUUCAUCUUCUUCGCGCGGCGGCGGGCUUAGCAGGAGAGGCGAGCAACAAGCAGUGAGGUCACCGGUGCCGUAUCAGGAGCAGCCCAUGGACUACGAGCCAGCUAGGAAUUGCAGCCUUUGCAGGAAGAAGGCACCGCGGUGGAUCUCGUGGAGUAGGGCGAACCCUGGUAGGAGUUACUAUGCGUGUGUGGAUGCUCAGGUAUGCUCGAUUCCUUGUUUGUUUGGUUGUCCCGCCUCUGUUUCUGAAUCUCUCUUUAAUUUCUCUGAAAUUUGUUGGUGA
Molecule: ribosomal RNA, 300 nt
Filed under: Triticum aestivum (bread wheat)
Lineage: Eukaryota; Viridiplantae; Streptophyta; Magnoliopsida; Poales; Poaceae
Description: partial small subunit ribosomal RNA
Source: RNAcentral